CGUGGAGGCAAUGGUUUUGGUGACAGUGGUGGAAGUGGGGGAAGUGGCUUCUCAUAAAUUGGAACCGGAGGAGGAAGCGAGAUUGGAGGGUAAACUUUUGGAGGCAGCGGAGGAAACUCCUUACCAAAGAACAAUGGAUGAUCAACUACCUCCUUUGUUUUAACAUCACCAUAGCAAAAGGUGGCAGCAAACAGCAAAGAAACAUACAAGCACAGAAGUGCUUCUCUAAAAACGGAGAGAAUCCUCAUUGGAACCAAUCUU
This 261-nucleotide unclassified non-coding RNA is filed under the name Hevea brasiliensis (rubber tree). Lineage: Eukaryota; Viridiplantae; Streptophyta; Magnoliopsida; Malpighiales; Euphorbiaceae. The record is from RNAcentral.